UACGUAGGUGGCAAGCGUUGUCCGGAUUUAUUGGGUUUAAAGGGUGCGUAGGCGGCUUUGUAAGUCAGUGGUGAAAUAUGGCAGCUCAACUGUCAAGGUGCCAUUGAUACUGCGGAGCUUGAGUACAGAUGAGGUAGGCGGAAUUGACGGUGUAGCGGUGAAAUGCUUAGAUAUCGUCAAGAACACCGAUAGUGAAGACAGCUAACUAAGCUUUAACUGACGCUGAGGCACGAAAGUGUGGGGAUCAAACAGG
This 253-nucleotide ribosomal RNA is filed under the name uncultured bacterium. RNAcentral's name for it is "partial 16S ribosomal RNA". It matches the Rfam family "Bacterial small subunit ribosomal RNA", at positions 524 to 776 of the family's 1533-position model. The record is from RNAcentral.